CAUAGCUUAAUGUACAUAUUAAGUACUUCCUGCCCAGUGAUUUUAACGGCCGCAGUACCCUGACUGUGCUAAGGUAGCAUAAUAAUUUGGCUUUUAAUUGAAGUCGGGAAUGAAUGGGAGACGUAAAAAUUGUCUCUUUUAAGGUAAAUAAAUUUACUUAUUAGGUGAAAAUUCCUAAUUAUUAAUAGACGAGAAGACCCUUAGAAUUUUAAUAAUUUUUGUUGGGGCGACAAAGUUACAUUUAACUUAUUUACUUUUUUUACAUGCCGAGUACGAAGAAAUUACCUGAGGGAUAACAGCAUAAAAUUUAGAUUAUGACCUCGAUGUUGGAUUAGGGAAUAAUGGUUAGCAAUUAUUGCUGUUCUGUUCGAACCCUACGUGAUCU
This 385-nucleotide ribosomal RNA is filed under the name Paralaoma servilis. Its description in RNAcentral is "partial large subunit ribosomal RNA". It matches the Rfam family "Archaeal large subunit ribosomal RNA", at positions 1906 to 2675 of the family's 2987-position model. Lineage: Eukaryota; Metazoa; Mollusca; Gastropoda; Stylommatophora; Punctidae. The record is from RNAcentral.